RNAcentral lists this ribosomal RNA (471 nucleotides) under uncultured bacterium. RNAcentral's name for it is "partial 16S ribosomal RNA". It matches the Rfam family "Bacterial small subunit ribosomal RNA", at positions 28 to 507 of the family's 1533-position model. The record is from RNAcentral.
GACGAACGCUGGCGGCGUGCUUAACGCAUGCAAGUCGAACGAUGAAGCCUAGCUUGCUAGGUGGAUUAGUGGCGAACGGGUGAGUAAUACGUGAGUGACCUACCUUUGACUCUGGGAUAAGCCUGGGAAACUGGGUCUAAUACCGGAUACGACCAAUCUCCGCAUGGGGUGUUGGUGGAAAGCGUUAUGGAGUGGUUUUAGAUGGGCUCACGGCCUAUCAGCUUGUUGGUGAGGUAAUGGCUUACCAAGGCGACGACGGGUAGCCGGCCUGAGAGGGUGACCGGCCACACUGGGACUGAGACACGGCCCAGACUCCUACGGGAGGCAGCAGUGGGGAAUAUUGCACAAUGGGCGCAAGCCUGAUGCAGCGACGCCGCGUGAGGGAUGACGGCCUUCGGGUUGUAAACCUCUGUUAGCAUCGAAGAAGCGAAAGUGACGGUAGGUGCAGAGAAAGCGCCGGCUAACUACGUG